Molecule: ribosomal RNA, 446 nt
Filed under: uncultured bacterium
Lineage: Bacteria
Description: SSU rRNA
Rfam family: Bacterial small subunit ribosomal RNA
Source: RNAcentral
AGAGCGAACGCUGGCGGCAGGCCUAACACAUGCAAGUCGAGCGCCCGUAGCAAUACGGGAGCGGCAGACGGGAGAGUAACACGUGGGAACGUACCCUUCAGUUCGGAAUAACCCAGGGAAACUUGGACUAAUACCGAAUACGUCCGUAAGGAGAAAGAUUUAUCGCUGAAGGAUCGGCCCGCGUCUGAUUAGCUUGUUGGUGAGGUAACGGCUCACUAAGGCGACGAUCAGUAGCUGGUCUGAGAGGAUGAUCAGCCUCACUGGGACUGAGACACGGCCCAGACUCCUACGGGAGGCAGCAGUGGGGAAUAUUGGACAAUGGGCGCAAGCCUGAUCCAGCCAUGCCGCGUGGAUGAUGAAGGCCCUAGGGUUGUAAAGUCCUUUCGGCGGGGAAGAUAAUGACGGUACCGCAGAAGAAGCCCGGCUAACUUCGUGCCAGCAGCCGC